Molecule: ribosomal RNA, 497 nt
Filed under: uncultured bacterium
Lineage: Bacteria
Description: partial 16S ribosomal RNA
Rfam family: Bacterial small subunit ribosomal RNA
Source: RNAcentral
GAUGAACGCUGGCGGCGUGCCUAAUACAUGCAAGUCGAGCGAACAGACGAGGAGCUUGCUCCUCUGACGUUAGCGGCGGACGGGUGAGUAACACGUGGAUAACCUACCUAUAAGACUGGGAUAACUUCGGGAAACCGGAGCUAAUACCGGAUAAUAUAUUGAACCGCAUGGUUCAAUAGUAAAAGACGGUUUUGCUGUCACUUAUAGAUGGAUCCGCGCCGCAUUAGCUAGUUGGUAAGGUAACGGCUUACCAAGGCAACGAUGCGUAGCCGACCUGAGAGGGUGAUCGGCCACACUGGAACUGAGACACGGUCCAGACUCCUACGGGAGGAAGCAGUAGGGAAUCUUACGCAAUGGGCGAAAGCCUGACGGAGCAACGCCGCGUGAGUGAUGAAGGUCUUCGGAUCGUAAAACUCUGUUAUUAGGGAAGAACAAAUGUGUAAGUAACUAUGCACGUCUUGACGGUACCUAAUCAGAAAGCCACGGCUAACUACGUG